UAGGGAAUUUUCGUCAAUGGGGGGGGACCCUGAACGAGCGAUGCCGCGUGAGUGAAGAAGGCCUUCGGGUCGUAAAGCUCUGUUGCGGGGGAAAAAAGGGACGGACAGGAAAUGGUCUGUCACUGAUGGUGCCCCGCCAGAAAGUCACGGCUAACUACGUGCCAA
Molecule: ribosomal RNA, 165 nt
Filed under: uncultured bacterium
Lineage: Bacteria
Description: partial 16S ribosomal RNA
Rfam family: Bacterial small subunit ribosomal RNA
Source: RNAcentral